Molecule: long non-coding RNA, 2461 nt
Filed under: Sus scrofa (pig)
Lineage: Eukaryota; Metazoa; Chordata; Mammalia; Artiodactyla; Suidae
Description: lncRNA (ENSSSCG00040054137.1)
Source: RNAcentral
AGGUAGGGCCUUGAGGCCAGGAAGCCAGCACCUCCGGGGCUCCCCUGGAGGGCAUCUCCCUAACGGGGAGCUCUAGAGACGGGAGGAGGAUUGGGUGGGGAGGAUGGGGCCAUGGCUUGGGAAGGGCACUAGCGCCUCUGGGCCUUCACGGCCAACAUCCCAACAAGAGGCAGAGUCCAGGGGGAGUCCCAUUCUGUUUGGCCAUCUGUCAGGAGAGGGAUCCACUUCCCGGGGUGCCAGGGUAGGGGGUUCCCGGGAGGCAGACCUUUCAGAACUAAUGCCAGGAAGGUCCUGGGCAGACAGGGGGAGUGGUGGUCCCCUCAUCCUGGAGGCAGGCCGUGUCUCUGCCACCUUUUUGGUGGCAAGUCACUUUCUCUUGGGUCCAAGUGGAAUGGCUCUCUCAGACCCUGGGGUUUUGCAGGAACCUGGGCACCAGAGCCCCUCCCGUGUUAGGGCUGCUGAAGGAGGAACUCAUGAGGCCAAGUCGGUAAAGCCAGAGAGAUUCUUUUUUUUCUUGUUUUGAGGGCAGCAUGUGGGGCAUAUGGAAACUUCCAGGGGAGGGGUUGAAUCGGAGCUGCCGCUGCCAGCCUACCGCACAGCCACAGCCGUGCCAGAUCCGAGCCGCCUCUGCGACGGACACUACAGCUCACGGCAACCCUGGAUCCUUAACCCACUGAGCGAGGCCAGGGAUCGAACAUGCCUCCUCGUGGACACUAGUUAGAUUCCUAAGCUGCUGAGCCACAAGGGGAACUCCCUGAGAGAUGCAUUCAUGCAUCUGACAGGGAUGGGCUGAGCCCAGGACAGCAUCAGCACCGACCGUGAGGAGAAGCUAGUCUUACAAAGGGUCCUGGUGGGAGUCUGAGAGGAGGGUCUGUGGUGGGACCUUGGGACAAGGACAAGGACAGGCAGGUUACCCAGUGUGGGGAAGGGGUCGGGGGGCGCGUCCCACGACUGAGUGUUUGUGGCGGGGAAAAUGAUAGGGAAGGGAAAAGUUAGCACAAUGAGGAAGGAUGGUUGGGACCUGAGGCUCACGACCAGGUAAGUGCAGUAACAGGAACCGAGUUAGGGGCCAGUUCAUCUUUACAGGUGGUCAAUCUUUGCAGGCACUUGUUUGCUGUAGACAAUUGUCUCUCUCUGUCCAGCUUCAAACGGCUGCAUUCCCAGGGCGCGGGCUUCCUCCAUUCUCCCGGGCACCCAUCACUGCCACACCAUCAAGAUUCCACCAGCGGCUUCCAAGUGCCAGGGGACCUGCGCCCACCUUUUCUGCCCCCCAGAGCUGGACAGCAGACCUGCUCACGGUCAUGUUCAGCCCUCAACAUCAGGGGACCAGCGACCUGGACCCUGAUUCUACAGGUAACUGGUCUUCCCAAGGGGCCAGGCGUCUUAGUGGAUGUGGGAAGAGACAGAAGCCAGAGAGACCUGCCCAAGGUGACUAGCCAGCCCCCUCCAGAUGAAGAAGCACAAUCUCGCCAGCACCCCCAGAAACCCACCACCACGCCACGCCUCCCUUCUGGCCUUGAAGAAAAGCAGAAAGUCGCAAACGCUCUUUCCUCCAGGAAGCUUCUCGCAUCCCCAGUAGCAGCCUCCCAGGAUCCCCAUGUUGGGGAAAAGUGACUCUGGCUCGGAUCGGCAGUGUCAGAAAGGGAGACACGCGGACACGGGGAGAUCGAGGCAAGGCUCUUUAUCUCUGCAGAAGGGCGAGAGUGCCCACAAAGCGCGCCAAAGCGGGAAGCCCCCUCCCAUUUAUCCCUAAGGCAGGUGGCAUCCCUGUCCCCUUCCCAUGGGUCGGGUCAGGGCGCACAUUCUUCUCGGCUGGCUCAUUUGAAACAAAUUUUUCCUGGGAGAAGAGGGAGGAGGAGGGGGUCUCAGACGAAGCAGGAAGAAAUGGAGUCAGCAAGGCUUCCUCUGAUGGAAAAGGCAUAUGUUCAUUCUCACACCCAGAACCCGUUUCCUCACCUUUAUCAACCCCGCUGGCGGUGACCCAAGAGACUGUCUCCCGCAGCCCCCGCACAGAGCAGGGACCACCCAUUUUCUUCAGACCUGGUUGGAGGCAAGCGCUCUUGCCCAGGGCAGGGAGGGCAGAGAUUUGGCGGCCCUGGCCGUGCCCAGCACCCCCACUCCAGGGACCAGGAUGGCCCGGUGGGGAGAGAAGUCCUAGAAACUGUUCGGGGGCUGCAGGGAGCCUCAGAACCCAGCUUGGCCCAGACCUGAGGCCCGGUCACUCCAGCAGGUGCACGGUCCCCCAGGAAGCCUCUCUCAGCCGCAGCCUCACUGAGGUCAGUGACUGGGGAGGCCCAGAGACCUAUCUCCCUCUUGUGCGUCAGCCUCGUCUCCUGGUCCAGGGCCUGCAGCUCCUGUGAGGACCUGGAGCACCUGACCAGCGGGGGAGAGGCGGGGGCCGCCAGUCACCCAGCUGGCCCAAACCUGCACCUGCUAUGGCCCCUUGCUUCACACCCACCAG